This 476-nucleotide long non-coding RNA is filed under the name Apteryx rowi (Okarito brown kiwi). RNAcentral describes it as "lncRNA (ENSARWG00000003201.1)". The record is from RNAcentral. Lineage: Eukaryota; Metazoa; Chordata; Aves; Apterygiformes; Apterygidae.
UUUUACCAGCAUUGCACUGUUUAUUUGUUUAUCGCUUUUAUUUGGCCUCCCUAGGAUCAGCAACAGGAAUCUUGGUCCUUGUCUCUAUAUUGAGCGGAAAUGGGAUGGAAACAUUGGAGGGAGCUGAUGCCACUGGGGUAAUUUUCUCUGCAAGCUCAGGAGUCCUCACAGUGUCCCCCAGCAACAGCCCUAGGAGUCCCAGGAGAUGGUGAGGGAGGAGGCACCAGCCAGGGUUACAGUUUGUUCCUUCCAGUCAUCUUUCAUUUAGUGACCACUGAGGAAUGCGUCAGCACAACCAGCCUUGGAAACACGUCGAUUUGUUUAUUCUCUGCCAGAGUGGUGGAUUUUAUUCUGAAAACAAAGUUCUGCGCUGUUCUGCUAGUCCCAGCAGUGAUGGUGAACAAACGAAGAGUUAUGGGUGGAAGAGCACUCUCACUGUGACCUGUGUCAUACUCUUGCUUGCUGAGAGCUUGUAA